Molecule: long non-coding RNA, 695 nt
Organism: Suncus etruscus (white-toothed pygmy shrew)
Lineage: Eukaryota; Metazoa; Chordata; Mammalia; Eulipotyphla; Soricidae
Exons: 2
Source: RefSeq, a predicted model, not a curated record
UUAGUAUCUCUCCUAAGAGACACUUGUCCUUCCACACUGUCCCAUGGGCAGCUCCUGUCUGGUUACUCUGUGGGCAUCUUCGUCUUCUAGAAAAUGACCAUUGACGUGUAUUUUCUUCCAGAAACUAUCAGAGACACCAAUGGCACCUUCUUCCUCCUUUCUCGUCUGGUCAGGAAUGAGCGACCCCCUGCAGAGUUCUCUUAAAUGAGCCUUUCUUCACCAGUGAUGUCACCUUUGCUUCAAACAGAAGGAUUCUAACCUGUGUGUGUACACUCUGGUGUUUGAUGAUUGAAGCCUCGCCCAACUCGCUGCAAAAAUGGAGCUUCUCCUGUGUGUAUCCUCUGGUGUGUGCUGAGACUUGACAUCUGACUGAAGCCUCGCCCACACUCCCACAAAACAUGGAGUUUCUCCCUGUGUAUGAUGAAAUGUGACCUUUGCCUGAAGUUGCGCCCACUCUUCCUGCAAACAUGGGGCUUCUCCCCCGUGUGUAUCCUCCAGUGUCUGAUAAGACGUGACCUCAGAGUGAAGCCUCGCCCUCACUCCUUGCAAACAUGGGGCUUCUCUCCUGUGUAUGUCCUCUGGUGUGCAUUGAGACUUGACCUCCAACUGAAACCUCGCCCACACUCUCUGGAAACAUGGGAUUUCUCCUCUGUGUGUGUAUUCUGGGUUGUCAUAAAAUUUGAUCAAACAGUGAA